Molecule: ribosomal RNA, 253 nt
Filed under: uncultured bacterium
Lineage: Bacteria
Description: partial 16S ribosomal RNA
Rfam family: Archaeal small subunit ribosomal RNA
Source: RNAcentral
UACCAGCACCCCGAGUGGUCGGGACGAUUAUUGGGCCUAAAGCAUCCGUAGCCGGUCCUACAAGUCUUCCGUUAAAUCCACCUGCUUAACAGAUGGGCUGCGGAAGAUACUAUAGGGCUAGGAGGCGGGAGAGGCAAGCGGUACUUAGUGGGUAGGGGUAAAAUCCGUUGAUCCAUUGAAGACCACCAGUGGCGAAGGCGGCUUGCCAGAACGCACUCGACGGUUAGGGAUGAAAGCUGGGGGAGCAAACCGG